RNAcentral lists this ribosomal RNA (423 nucleotides) under uncultured bacterium. RNAcentral describes it as "bacterial SSU rRNA". It matches the Rfam family "Bacterial small subunit ribosomal RNA", at positions 207 to 622 of the family's 1533-position model. The record is from RNAcentral.
AAGACCUUGCGCUUUUGGAGCGGCCGAUGCCUGAUUAGCUUGUUGGUAAGGUAAAAGCUUACCAAGGCUUCGAUCAAUAGCUGGUCUGAGAGGACGGCCAACCACACUGGGACUGAGACACGGCCCAGACUCCUACGGGAGGCAGCAGUGGGGAAUUUUGGACAAUGGGGGCAACCCUGAUCCAGCCAUGCCGCGUGAGUGAAGAAGGCCUUCGGGUUGUAAAGCUCUUUCAGCCGGAACGAAACGGUUACGGUUAAUACCCGUGAUUACUGACGGUACCGGAAGAAGAAGCACCGGCUAACUACGUGCCAGCAGCCGCGGUAAUACGUAGGGUGCGAGCGUUAAUCGGAAUUACUGGGCGUAAAGCGUGCGCAGGUGGUUUUGUAAGUCAGAUGUGAAAGCCCCGGGCUCAACCUGGGAACU